UACGUAGGUGGCAAGCGUUGUCCGGAUUUAUUGGGUUUAAAGGGUGCGUAGGCGGCUUUGUAAGUCAGUGGUGAAAUAUGGCAGCUCAACUGUCAGGGUGCCAUUGAUACUGCGGAGCUUGAGUACAGAUGAGGUAGGCGGAAUUGACGGUGUAGCGGUGAAGUGCUUAGAUAUCGUCAAGAACACCGAUAGCGAAGGCAGCUUACUAGGCUGUAACUGACGCUGAGGCACGAAAGCGUGGGGAGCGAACAGG
This 253-nucleotide ribosomal RNA is filed under the name uncultured bacterium. RNAcentral describes it as "partial 16S ribosomal RNA". It matches the Rfam family "Bacterial small subunit ribosomal RNA", at positions 524 to 776 of the family's 1533-position model. The record is from RNAcentral.